CAGACGGGCAGCAAGUGUCGUGGUUCAAUUGUGCAGUGUUGAAAAAUCAAACUAAAUUCAAAAUCGGCUCUAAAGCAAACAAAUUCAUAAAGGGAAAUCCCCAAAGAAAAUAACCCUCAGUGUUUCAAAAGUGUUCAAAUUUUACAAUUGCAGCAUCUCACCAACAAAUUCAGCAAUCAUCGUGAAUUUUCAAAAUAAAAGAAAAUACAGAAAUCAACAGUGCAAACGACACUGAGUUGCAGCUGAAUGUGAAAGAAGCAACUGCAGCAGCCGCAUAAAAAUCGAGAAGAAUAGACAACACAGCAUUGGAGAGGCAACAAUAACACUUGGAUCUGCUGCAGCAACAUCCAUAAUCGAAAGCUAAGCCACAUCAUCGAAAUCUUUGGGCAGUGUGGAAGCGGCAUUAACCAGCAGCAACAUCAUUUAGCUCCGUCCAUGGGCGCCGCGGCAAACAGAGUCCGGUGAAAAUGGACAAAGGCCGCGCGAGGCUGCCGCCGAAUUAGCAGAGAAGCCGGAAAAUCCCCACACACUUACACACACGGACGGGCAGUGCAAAUAUUUGCCAGGCCCCAAAAAAAAAAAGAAAAUACAUAUAUAUAUUCAAAAAAAAAAAAAAGAGAGCACACAUAUAACAAAGGGGCUCAGAAGGGGAAGCAUUUGUGCGACAAUAGCCAAGGAAUUAGCCACAAAAGAAGGAGCGAAACCGGGUCCAUUAAGACAGCCAUCAGACCAUCAGAUCCCAUCCCGGCUAGACGAGGUCCACUUAAAUGACCGAAUCCACACAGCUGCAGACGGCGGAGAACAACAACGCGGGCGUGGUCAAAAUGGAGCCCCCGCCGCCGGCGACCUCCUCCGUUUCCGUAUCCGCCGCCGCUGCCGCCCACGCCCUCUCCUCCCUCUCCUCGCUCACGAUGGCCGCCACCGGAUCCGCCCUCUCGCCGGCCACGCCCCCGCCCUCCCUGAACCUCUCACAUCAGCAACAGCAGCAGCAACAGCAGCACUACGCCCUCAAGUGGAACGACUUCCAGAGCUCGAUCCUCAGCUCCUUCCGUCACCUGCGGGACGAGGAGGACUUCGUCGAUGUGACGCUGGCCUGCGACGAGCGCUCCUUCACCGCCCACAAGGUCGUCCUCAGCGCCUGCAGUCCCUACUUCCGCCGGCUGCUCAAGGCCAAUCCCUGCGAGCACCCAAUAGUCAUCCUGCGCGACGUGCGCUGCGAUGACGUCGAGAAUCUGCUGAGCUUUAUGUACAAUGGUGAGGUGAAUGUCAGCCACGAACAGUUGCCCGACUUCCUGAAGACAGCUCAUCUGCUGCAGAUUCGCGGCCUGGCGGAUGUCAAUGGUGGUUAUCCCUACUCCAAGGCCUUGUCCGCCGCCUUGAGUCACAACAGCAGCAAUAACAACAACAAUAAUAACAACAACAAGAGCAGCAGCAACAACAGCCUGAGCAACAACAAUAAUAAUAAUAACAAUAAUAAUGCCGACAGCAGUAAUCACAACAAGAUAAGCAGCUAUUUACCGCCCAACCAAACGAGCGCCACGUGCAACAACAGCAAUAACAGCAACCACAGCAGCAGCAACAACAACAGCAGCAGCAACAACAACAUCAGCGGAUCCCUGAACAGCAGCCUGAACUCACCGUUCAGUGCGCCACAGAUACCGCCACCAGUGACCGCCUCGAGUGCAGCAGCAGCCGCAGCAGCGGCCGCAUCACUGACCGCCGCAGUAGCCGCAGCAGCGGCAGCAACAGCAGCAAGUGUCGGCAGCAGCGGCAGCGCCAGCGGACAGACGAGCGGUACGCCCGCCAUCCAGGAGCUGAAGGCGUCGUCGGCAGCGUCGCCCGUAAGAAACCCGAAUCCCAAUCCCAGCAAAGCCAGCAGCAGCAACCACUGGGACAUGGGCGAGAUGGAGGGCAGCAGGAAGAGCCAUCUGACGCCGCCGCCACAGAAACGCAUCAAGAGCGCCGACCUGUUCCGCGCCCAGCACGGCAUCAGUCCCGAGCGAUUGCUGCUGGAUCGCGAGUUCCCCGUCGCCGGACAGCAUCCGCUCACGCGGAACAGGAGCGGUCGGGAUACGUCCAAGGAUCGGGAGCGCAACAUGGAGCUGAGGGAAUCGCUACUGGGACAGGCUUUGGAGAACAGCAACGGACAGCAGGCCAAUCCGAAACACGAACUUGGCCAGAGCGCGGGUGAGGACUCGAACAGCAGUGACACGGAGCCCUCGGAUCGCGGCGAUGGUCAGCACGAUGGAACCCUCGACGGGAUUGACAAUCAGCGCUCGCACUCGUUCCCCAAUGCAUUCCUUGGCCUCCAGGGCAUUCCCGGCCUUCUGCCAGGACCCUCUGGCCUCAACAGCGACUUUGGCACAUUCCUCAAUGCCAAGAGCGGCAUCAAGCAGGAGGUGUUGGAGCCGGAAACGGAAGAGGAUGCAGUGCAGCAGCAGCAGCAGCCGCAGCCGCACGAGGCCCAUGCCGCCGACCGUCGUCCUGCAGCCUGUAAGCUGGCCAAGCUGAUGCAGCAGCAGGAGCAGCAGCAGCGUCAACUGUUUGACCAGCGGCGCAGCCAUCACCAGCCACACCAUCACCACCAGCCGCAUCAUCGCCACCAACAUCAUCACCACCAUCACCACCAUCGGAUCAACAACAAUAACAACAAUACGAAAAAGAACCGAUCGGCCAACUCCUCGCCCACGCCGUCGGCUCGAUCGUGGAACGACAGCGAAGACGAUCAGGACAUGGACUGCAGCAGCGGCAACCAGCAGCAGAGUGCGCAGCAGCAGCAGCAGCAGCAACAGCAGCACAAUAGCAACGAGGAUGAGGAUGAUCGCUCCUCGUCGGCCUCCUCGGCCAUAUCCUUGACCAUGAAGAGAACGCGCCAGGAUAGCGAGUCCACGCUCUACCAAACGCUGCUUAUGAAGCAGGAGCAGCACCAGCAGCAGCAUCAACAGCAGCAGCAGCAGCAUCAGCAACAGCAGCAGCAGCAGCAGUAUCUGGACGAGCUGCAGCAGUCGCACCAGCAGCAACUGACGGCAAAUCUGUUUAUGGCCAGGACAAUAGCUCUGAGCAGGUCACGAGAUUUUCCGGAACUCUUCCAAAACACCAUUGCCGCGGCGGCUGCGAAUGCGACAGCUGCAUCGGCCAGUCCGGGUAACAAUGCCAGUGGACCCGGUCAGCAGGUGGUGGCAUCCGGACCCGGACCGGGACCAGGAAGUGCUGCACCCGUGGCCGUGGGAGGUGGCAGCGGAGCGGCAGCCGGAAACAGCAACUACAUGCUGCCCUGUCCGCUGUGUGAGACGCCGCUGGAGCAGCGUGUGUUCCGGCAGCACCUGGACCGACACUAUCCGCGCGACAGUCCCGUCUGUCCGGUGAUCGAAUGCGGCCGCCGGUUCGCGCAUCCCAACUCCGUGCGGAAUCACAUGCGGAUCAAGCACACGCUGCAGUGGGCCAAGAUGAAGGCCAUGCGGUCGUCGGGCGGCCCCUUCGCCGGCGGUCCGGACUUCAAAUGAAACUGCGAGGCCGUGGGCUAAUGUUACUCCGCGUAGUCACGCUAAAAGCUUUCUAGGUUGCUGCUUCUCAGUCAGUCAAUGGCGACAAUAAAUCGAAUCUAACUCGCAAUCCACGAGAAAUCACCCCAGUCUCGAGACACUCGCAUCUAUCGUAGAUAGCCAAAAGUAGUCCAAGACCCACUCGGAGUCCACUCUAACUAACAGUAACUGUAAGCGCACGAGAGCUCCUCGCCCGAUAGCCAACUACUGCUCCGCAUCCUGGCCACCAGUCAUGGACGCUGCUCCAAGUGAUCAAUUAGUAUUUCAAAGUAUUCAUUUCGGUCCAUAACAGGUUUCAGUCGAGUUACCAAAAAGUGAUUAGGGUCAGUACGAUUUCGUUCAUUACGAUUUUCAUUUUUUAUGUAGGAUAUCGAUUUAUGAGUAAUAGCAUUUGAAAAUUCAUGUUUCCAACAAAAGAAGAUUGCAGAGUAGAGACAUGACUGGCGGCGAUGGAUGAACGCGUUGGGUUAGGAAACUUACAACAAUUAUUACGUUCCUAUAUGCGAUAAAGUACAUAUACUACAUGUGCAGACACCUACAGCUCUAAUACGUUUACCUAAGCAAAAGUAAAUCUCAAACUCUGAAUUCCUUUACACUAGCUGAUGGAGUUCAUCUGUAGGUCUCGGCUCCAGAAGCGCUCCAGUUAAGCAUGUGCAGUAUUAAAGUAAAAGCUAACGAAACCGAAGAACUACACACCAGAAGAAUAGUAAAUAGUAAUUCAUAGAGUUCCAUAAGCAAAAUACGUACGAUUAAGCCAUAGAGGGUGAGAUAACUAUGUAGAUAAAGAGCUAAAAACAAGCAAACAAAGAAACAUGAUAUAUAGAAAUAUAUAAAGUAGUUAUUAUGAAUAUUGAUACUGAAACAAAAUAGAAUGUGCCUGCGUAAUAUAUUUUUAGCCAAAAAAAAGUAAAACGAAAAACUGAAAAAAUGAAAAAAUGAAACACAAGUAAACCAAAGUUGAUACGAACUAAAAUAAAAAUAAAAAGAAAACUCGGAAAAACUGAAAACGAUUUGUAUUAGAGAAAGUUCAAAAUUCAAGGAGAUAUUUUGUUGAUUACCCUAGGUUCACUGAACUGUAAUUCGAAUCAAUUGGCGGCAUAACACUCCAAGAGCAGACAUACGUAAAAAGGUUCCUAUAAUGUUAAUCAAAAAAAACACACAAAAAGCUCCAGCUACAAAACUGGCUAAAUGUGAGCGGACAAUUUUACAAUUGUAGUUUAUAAAGCCCAAAGAGAAAAACAAGCAGCCAUAAGUACAGCGAUUGUACAAACGUUUGUAUGCCAUUUUAGUUUGCGAAAUUGUCCGAAGGGGCGAAAACAAAUGUAUCUAGUACGAGUAUCUUGUAUCUGCGUUGCCUGAAGGAAUGUAUUUGGAGGCGGCAAAUCUAUUUUGGUGAACAAUAAAGAGCAAACGAAGACUAGCCCGCCUUUUCAUUGGUCUCUCCGUAAGCGGAACUUUGAUGAACCCAA
This 5011-nucleotide unclassified non-coding RNA is filed under the name Drosophila yakuba. RNAcentral's name for it is "abrupt". The record is from RNAcentral. Lineage: Eukaryota; Metazoa; Arthropoda; Insecta; Diptera; Drosophilidae.